UCCGGUAUGGUCUACUGGUAUAAUUCUGCACUCUGAAUGAAGGAAUCAGGGUUCAAUUUUCUUUGUUGGGA
This is a non-coding RNA of Seminavis robusta, 71 nucleotides long. The record is from the annotation of a GenBank genome assembly. Lineage: Eukaryota; Bacillariophyta; Bacillariophyceae; Naviculales; Naviculaceae.